Molecule: unclassified non-coding RNA, 240 nt
Filed under: soil metagenome
Description: partial contains 5.8S ribosomal RNA, internal transcribed spacer 2, and large subunit ribosomal RNA
Source: RNAcentral
AACUGAUACUACCUGCGGGAACCUGCGGAAGGAUCAUUGCUGGAACGCGCCCCAGGCGCACCCAGAAACCCUUUGUGAACUUAUACCUUACUGUUGCCUCGGCGCAUGCCGGCCCCCAGGGGCCCCUCGGAGACGAGGAGCAGGCACGCCGGCGGCCAACCUAACUCUUGUUUUUACACUGAAACUCUGAGAAAAAAAACAAAAUGAAUCAAAACUUUCAGCAAUGGAUCUCUAGAUCGG